Long non-coding RNA from Lycium ferocissimum, 640 nucleotides. RefSeq lists it as uncharacterized. The record is from RefSeq and is a predicted model, not a curated record. NCBI's taxonomy places the organism in Eukaryota, Viridiplantae, Streptophyta, Magnoliopsida, Solanales, Solanaceae. The transcript has 2 exons.
CAACUUCAACAAACCUCUAAGGCUGACUACUGUUUUUUUUUUUUUUUGGGCAGAAGCAGCUGAAAUUCCAUAUUGCAGAAGCUGUUUAUUUUUUGGCACAAGCAUAUUCAGGUAUGGGACAGUUUAUGGGAUGCCUAAUCGAGCCUGUCGUCAGUUUCCGUCGUUCCUUCAAGGUGUAGGUGCUACUUUUGAAGGGGCAGUGGAUCCUAAGGAGUACCAAGAAAUGAAGCAGAAAGUUACUCAACUAACAAGUACACUUAGUGCCACGGAGGCAAGGAUGUUGCAUAUGCAGGCCCAACUAGACAGCUUACUCAAUUCGGGCCCCUCUCAUAUUCCCCCGUGUCCCGGGAUGUUCGCAGGUCACAGCCCAAUAGACGACGUAGGUCACAAGCCAAUGUAGUUCAUGCUCUUGUUGAUGAGGAUAGUGAGGAGGAAUCAGAUCAUGUCUCUAACACCCAACGUUGAUUUUUUUGAUUCGUCUACUUUUGGAUUGUAAUAUUGCUAUGUUUUCUUGGAUAUGUAUAUGAUAUUUGAUUAUAGUUUUAAUUCGAAUUAGAUGUACUUUUGAAGGUGAAUUUGAUUGUAGAAAGUAGUUUAUGGUUGUUUAACUUUACGAUGUUUAAGUGUUUGAAUGUAGAAA